RNAcentral lists this unclassified non-coding RNA (325 nucleotides) under soil metagenome. RNAcentral describes it as "partial contains 5.8S ribosomal RNA, internal transcribed spacer 2, and large subunit ribosomal RNA". The stretch from base 1 to 120 matches the Rfam family "5.8S ribosomal RNA", at positions 35 to 154 of the family's 154-position model. The record is from RNAcentral.
GAUGAAGAACGCAGCGAAAUGCGAUAAGUAGUGUGAAUUGCAGAAUUCAGUGAAUCAUCGAAUCUUUGAACGCACAUUGCGCCCCUUGGUAUUCCGGGGGGCAUGCCUGUUCGAGCGUCAUUAUAAACCUCAAGCCUAGCUUGGUGUUGGAGCAUGCUACCUAAGCAGCUCUUAAAAUCAGUGGCAGUGCCCUUCGGCUCUAAGCGUAGUAACUUCUCUCGCUAUGGAACCCGGAGGGUACGCGCCAGAACCCCCAACUUUCUAUGGUUGACCUCGGAUCAGGUAGGGAUACCCGCUGAACUUAAGCAUAUCAAUAAGCGGAGGA